RNAcentral lists this ribosomal RNA (441 nucleotides) under uncultured bacterium. Its description in RNAcentral is "bacterial SSU rRNA". It matches the Rfam family "Bacterial small subunit ribosomal RNA", at positions 958 to 1399 of the family's 1533-position model. The record is from RNAcentral.
AACGCGAAGAACCUUACCUGGGCUCGAAGUGCUCGUGACCAGUGGUGGAAACAUCGCCUUCUCGCAAGAGACACGAGUAGAGGUGCUGCAUGGCUGUCGUCAGCUCGUGCCGUGAGGUGUUGGGUUAAGUCCCGCAACGAGCGCAACCCUUACUCUUAGUUGCCACCCGCAAGGGGGAACUCUAAGAGGACUGCUCCGGAUAACGGAGAGGAAGGUGGGGAUGACGUCAAGUCAGCACGGCCUUUAUGUCCAGGGCUACACACGUGUUACAAUGCACGGUACAAACCGUCGCGAACCCGCGAGGGGGAGCUAAUCGGAGAAAACCGUGCUCAGUUCGGAUUGCAGUCUGCAACUCGACUGCAUGAAGCCGGAAUCGCUAGUAAUGGCGUAUCAGAACGACGCCGUGAAUACGUUCCCGGGCCUUGUACACACCGCUCGCGA